RNAcentral lists this long non-coding RNA (586 nucleotides) under Manihot esculenta (cassava). RNAcentral describes it as "long non-coding RNA (MESC_LNC000653)". Lineage: Eukaryota; Viridiplantae; Streptophyta; Magnoliopsida; Malpighiales; Euphorbiaceae. The record is from RNAcentral.
UACCCCUCAAAGAAGUGAUCACUAGUGCUUCUGCUUCCUUUGUAAAUGCCCUUCCGCUCGAUCGCAAUUUCCUCUCCCUCAUAACAUUUCAGUUCCUGCACUUGCUGUUUCUGGAAGAGUAAUUACAUUACGAUCUUCACUCUAUUGCUUUUUCAAUUCCGAGGCUUGCUGUUUUAGGAAGAGGGAUGAACAACAACUCCUACUCCUCCUACUCCUCCUCAGGUGAGUGCAUUUUUGCUUAUUCUAUUCGAUUGCUGUUUCUCUUCCCCCACUAAUUUCUGUAGAGAGUUGGAUCGCACGUUACUGUACUGUAUAAGCUAGCUCAGAAGAGAAGAUUGUCAAAUUCUUAUAUUUAGUAUUAAAUUCAUGUCUGAAACUAAUGUGGGCUUCUUUUUGUUUUUUUUAAACUGUACGACAGGCUCACCGCAGUUUGUCCCUCUAAACUUGCCGGUUGGAUGGAGAUUCCACCCGUCCGAUGAAGAACUGGUUGAUCAUUAUUUGAAGCGGAAGAGGCGUGGUGAUCCUAUAGACGGCUUGGACAUCGGCGAGGUUCAAAUAUGCGAUUAUGAUCCCAAGGAUCUUCCAG